GAUGAACGCUGGCGGCGUGCCUAAUACAUGCAAGUCGAGCGAACGGACGAGAAGCUUGCUUUUCUGAUGUUAGCGGCGGACGGGUGAGUAACACGUGGAUAACCUACCUAUAAGACUGGGAUAACUUCGGGAAACCGGAGCUAAUACCGGAUAAUAUUUUGAACCGCAUGGUUCAAAAGUGAAAGACGGUCUUGCUGUCACUUAUAGAUGGAUCCGCGCUGCAUUAGCUAGUUGGUAAGGUAACGGCUUACCAAGGCAACGAUGCAUAGCCGACCUGAGAGGGUGAUCGGCCACACUGGAACUGAGACACGGUCCAGACUCCUACGGGAGGCAGCAGUAGGGAAUCUUCCGCAAUGGGCGAAAGCCUGACGGAGCAACGCCGCGUGAGUGAUGAAGGUCUUCGGAUCGUAAAACUCUGUUAUUAGGGAAGAACAUAUGUGUAAGUAACUGUGCACAGCUUGACGGUACCUAGUCAGAAAGCCACGGCUAACUACGUG
RNAcentral lists this ribosomal RNA (497 nucleotides) under uncultured bacterium. RNAcentral describes it as "partial 16S ribosomal RNA". It matches the Rfam family "Bacterial small subunit ribosomal RNA", at positions 28 to 507 of the family's 1533-position model. The record is from RNAcentral.